Long non-coding RNA from Gadus morhua (Atlantic cod), 1652 nucleotides. Lineage: Eukaryota; Metazoa; Chordata; Actinopteri; Gadiformes; Gadidae. The record is from Ensembl.
CAGAAAUCCAUAUGUACGUGCAUACAUACAUACUUAAACACACGCGCAAACAUACAUACUGUAGGUAUGCACACACACACAAUUUCCGCCAUUGUUUCACGUUUAGAAGAGAUGAGGAGAGAGGGAAGCAAAAAGGUGAGAAUAGGAGGGAAAAGUAGAAGCGACAAGAGGAGCAGGCGAAGAGGAGUAGACAGAGAGAGACUGUAGGAGACCGAGCAAUAAUUAGGUACACAGUGCUCUGAGCAUUUCCUGAGAGACGGAGAGAGAGAGAGAACGGGAGAGAGAGAGCGACAGCGAGAGAGAGAGCGACAGAGAGAGAGAGAUAGAGAGAGAUAUAGAGAGUGUUACCGGCCAGACAUGGUGUACUCAUCUCUGGAAUCUCUCGUUGAGGAACAUGACCUGAUUGUGAGUGCACGCACGUGUGUCUGUGUGCGUGUGUGUGUGUGUGUGUGUGUGUGUGUGUGUGUGUGUGUGUGUGCAUGCAGGUGGCUGUGUGUAUUAAAAGGAGCAAGACACCGAUUCUGAGCCAAGAUUAAAGGCCUGGCGGUGUCCCAUCCAACCCAUUGUGCCAGACGGUCCAGCAGUCGAGAGGCAAAAUCACCCCACAGUGUUUCCGGGGAGGAAAUCACAGGGUAACCGGCCUCGGCUCAGCCACGGAGGCAUGCAUACUAAGCACCCCCCCCCCCCCCCCCCCCCCCCACCGGCACACACACACACUCACACUCACACAUACACAGUCUGGCACAGUCACAGGUGUGUGACAGAUGCCUUUAUUUGUUAUCUUGUGCCGUUGUGCUAUGUUGCGAGGUACAAAAUUGUCAUUUUUUAUGUGAAAGGGUUGUGUGUGUGUGUGUGUGUGUGUGUGUGUGUGUGUGUGUGUGUGUGUGUGUGUGUGUGUGUGUGUGUUGUGUGUGUGUGUGUGUGUGUGUGUGUGUGUGUGUGUGUGUGUGUGCGUGCGUGCGUGCGUGCGUGCGUGUGUGUGUCUGGGCGGUUUACAGUCUGGCUGUGCAGUUGCAAUUAGUAUGCUCUGUUGUCAGCAAACUAGUUAGCACAGUUGUUGUUGCUGCUGGUGAGGCUGUGUGAAAUGUACUCACCGCAACAGAGCUGAGCCCAGAAGGCGAUGAUUGAGGACAUAAAGUUGUCUUCCCCAAUGUCUGCCUUGGCCAGAGCCAUACAUCUCUCAACCCAGACAUCUCCCUGUCUGCAAGCAUGCAUUAUAACUUUACGAUGAUUAUAUAGCUGACAUGUAUGUAUGUUUGGUAUGAGUGAUACUCACUCACUCGUUCACAGACACACACACACACACACAAAACCACAUAAAGACAACCUCAGACACAGACACAAAUGUGCAGGCAUAAGCCUGAACAACAAACAAACAUUAAUGAACUCUCACACAAACGCAAACCCGCACACAAACACACACACACACACACACACACACACACACACACACACACACACACACACACACACACACACACACACACACACACACACACACACACACACACGUGUGGGGGGAGGCGGGUGUGAGCGUCUGCUUGCUGUAUCAGUGAGUUGAGCUGUGUUUCCUACAGGAAGUCAGCUCUCCUGCCAGGGAGGGAUGAGUCCAGCCCCUCCCAGCAGGGCCAUCCAUCUGAGCUCGCCGUGCA